AUUUAGUAGUCCAGGCACUGAUCAGGUAAUCAAAUGCAAAUUGCUAAAUACUGAUUCACAAGCAGGGGAGCUGAUUGAGACACAGUGCAAUGAGGUUAUUGGCAGCUACCAUAUGGAGGAGGAGGGUCUAAAAAAAGCCUGGCCGGCACCCUCAGACUCCUCAGAGAAUGAGCGCAAAAUCACACAGUUCAACGAUGUCUGGCAUCUGGAGAAAGUAACAGCAGUGCGUAAUGUAGGAGAAUAGCCCUCCAUCACUGACACAGACGUCUUCAUUUCAUCAACACCAAACACACCUGGAGACACAAAUGAACAGUCACUCUUC
Xyrauchen texanus (razorback sucker) is the source of this 322-nucleotide long non-coding RNA. RefSeq lists it as uncharacterized. The record is from RefSeq and is a predicted model, not a curated record. The transcript has 3 exons. Lineage: Eukaryota; Metazoa; Chordata; Actinopteri; Cypriniformes; Catostomidae.